Molecule: long non-coding RNA, 2412 nt
Organism: Melospiza georgiana
Lineage: Eukaryota; Metazoa; Chordata; Aves; Passeriformes; Passerellidae
Exons: 4
Source: RefSeq, a predicted model, not a curated record
GUUUUUUUCUUUAAUGUCUUAACUUGCUAGAAUUGCAAAGUGUCUGACUUCACACUUCUGCAAAAUGCUGUUCCAGAGAAACAGCAGAUGCACAUGAACUGUAGCUGUCAGCUUGCUGGCAGUAGCUAAGUUUCUUCUUGGAAUAUUAGGCUGAUAUCUCUUUUUCACUUGUCUGCCAAGUCAUAUGUCCUUGUCUGAGAUUGCUUUUCUUGUCUUUCCUGUAAUAACAGCAGUAUGACAGAAUUCUUGGAGAAAUACUGUGCUAAUGGAUACUUCUGACAGUUCUGAUUCUUUGCCGAGGAAAGGAAAUAGAAAAAAGACUGCUGUGUUUGUUCCCAAAAGCAGUUACAGUAAAUGCCCUAUAAAUCAGCUAAGUAGUUCUUUUUAGUGCAAGGAGCAGGCUUCCUGCAAGCAAUGGUGAUGCUUCAAAGUUGGAAGAAUGAGCAAGAAAACUGUCAGGAAAAGCUUUAGCAGAAAUUAUUUAACUGUGUGUUGAGAUGGAGCAUUGAAGUGACUGUAGGUAGUGGGAGGAUAGCUUUGCAUCCAAGGAAGAGAGCCCAUACGUUAAUAUGUAUGGAUCAGCAUGGAUAAAACAAAAUACAUCUUUUAUCUCUGGUGCUUUCACUCUGCUCUUGGUUUGGCUGUGUCUUCCUCCUGGCCUCGUGUCUGUUGUUGCCCACAGCUGUCAUUGCAAUGUGGGUUUGACUGCCCCUUUGUUCAGUGUUCAACACAUCUCUCAGGACAUACUCCUCUGUGGCUUCCCUGAAUUCCUUUUCUUUGGUACUGUGAAAACAUUCCUGAAUGUUUCAGGUAAUUUUAGUCCUCUCUCUCUCUCUGAAGAUACUGGUCUGAGCUUUUUUGUGGGAAAUUACGAGUAACUUUGUACUCAGCAUCUCUUAGGAUCAAGGUGUUUUAGGAAUCUGUUGAGCAUCAUCACUCUCUGUCACUUCCCUUCAUGCCUGAGGGCCCCAGGUUGGAUUUGACACCUGAGAUAAAUGUAGCCUCAGCCUUUGGAGAGUUGAUCUGGAAAGCAGAGUAGCAGUGUCAGCCCUGGAGAGUCAAGGCAGCAAGAAAAAGAGAAAGAAAAAGGAGCAGCAUCAGCACAGGAAGCAACAUAUUGGAAAUGGAAGAGAACUGGAAAAGAGCCAAAACCACAAACAUGGGGAAGAAACAAAAGAAGAGCAAAGGAAAAGAAAAAGAUGACCAGCAGGUUCAAUGAAAGUGUCACAUCAAGUUAAAUAGGUUGUGGUCUUCUUUUCACAAAGAUCAAGCACCUUCUAUACAGAUACAAGACAUGUCCCACCUAUGAACCUGGUCUUGUUUGCUGGACCAUACAGGAGCAAGAGCAUCGAUCUCAUCCAGGAAAACAAUUGAAGGUCACAUCUGGCAGGCCUACAAAGAAAACACAGGAACACUGACAUCAGGAAAACAGCAUUGUAUGAAAGGCGAAAUACAUUAAAAACAUUAUGGUUACAAGAGUAGUAGAACUGGUUAGUUUGGGGGUUUUUUGAGGGGGAUGGUGGUGCUUUGCAAAAUUUUCUUGUUAGCGUUAUUAAUAUUUCCCAAUACAUCCUAAGAUUUGCAGUCCUCCAAAACCCCACUGGAAAAGGAAACACUGAGAGUCCCAUUUCUGUGGAAGGACCUGACAAAACAUGAAAAAACUUCUUCUUCAGCACAGAAAAUUAGUUACAACUCAGAACAUGUGGCACAUUUCAAUCAUACCUGCUCAAAUAAUAAAGAAAAAUUGUCAUUCAUAUUCUCCUACCCAUUCACUCAGGCAGUUUACACAUUUCUCAUAAAAAAAGAUUACUCCGCCUUCACCCUGGCUACAUUCAUUAGCAAAUGUCUGGUGCCAGUGUCUCUCUAGUCCCUGGUGUACCAUAGAAAAGGAAAUCUCUGAAAUUAAAAAAAAAAAAUCACACAAGAAAAACUUAUAAUGGAAAAGUGCCUAUUAUAACCCCCAUCCCUAAAACUCAUAGCUCAGCUCUCCUCAGCAAAAUACUUCAUGGAUAACACAGCAGUAAAAGUGUGAGAAAAACCAAAAUGUGUUCCUUCACAAUUCAACAGGGCAGCAAAGGAAAUUCAUAAAAGGAUAAUGUAUAUGUACAAAACAUUGAGAAAAGAUAGUAACAUUCCAAAAGCUCUGAGAUACCAGCAGGGGUGUGUCACACACCACACAGUGGAGCCAAACAAACUUCCAGUGCAGAAGCUGAGGCCAGGAUAACUUAGAAAUCACCAGUUCUGCACAUUCCUUCUCAUUUUCACAAAUGGUAAGAUUUGAGAGUAAAGCAUUUAACUGCCCCUUGAAUAGCUUUAAAUUUCUGUGUUUGGUCUCCCUUUGCAUGUGAUAAAGAAGAAGUAAUCUAAAGCUGGGAAGGUAUUCUGCAUUUCUGCAUUUCCAUCAGCUGGAAA